Arachis ipaensis is the source of this 2949-nucleotide non-coding RNA. The record is from RefSeq and is a predicted model, not a curated record. Lineage: Eukaryota; Viridiplantae; Streptophyta; Magnoliopsida; Fabales; Fabaceae.
UUUUCUUCUUUUUUUUUUGGUUAACCCCUCUACAAUUAUCAUCCAAAAUAAUUCUUAAACUAGUUUGGGGCAAAUCUAAAAAGUAAUAUCCCAUCUCCUACUCCAGACUUUUUCUGGCUAACCAAUCUGCUGCAACGUGUUGGAUUCUUACUUGCCAAUCUUUGCUUAGCCAAAACUUAAUAUUCCUUAUGAGAUUGUUGAAAUGAGAAGGCUUUCCAUUUCUCCUUCCAAUACUAUCAAUUACUCCCUUUGAAUCAGACUCCAAUAUAACUCGCCUGCAACCUAAUUUCCAAAUAGUUUGAAGACCGUGGAGCACUCCCCAUAAUUCCGCCUGAAAAGUUGUACAAUUUUCCAAAUUUGCACAAAAACCAGCCACCCAACGACCUAAUUCAUUUCUAAUUACCCCACCACAAGCUGCUAGACCCAGGUUUCCGGCAGAAGACCUGUCUGUAUUAAUCUUAAGCCAACCAGCAUCAGGAGGUUCCCAUCCUAUGUUCACAUUCAUCACCUUAGGGACCAGUCUCAUCAAAUUCCUUCUUUCAAAGGAUUCUUCAAUCAACUUGAUCUGGGAUUCAAUAACCGGCCAAGGUGAAUUGGGUGUGUUGGACGACUAUUAAAAAUUUUCUGAUUUCUCCAUCUCCAUAACCACCAGCAAGUGACUAUGAACUUGAUUAUCCAAGAAGUUUGGUUAUUGCGUGUGGCCGAUUUCAAAGGUUAGGUUCCAUCUGAUCCAGACCUCGAAAGGAGCUCUAAAGAAUUCCUGGAGAUAGGAAGGGUGGAUGAUUGAAGAUCAUACUCUGGAAGCUGAGGGAAAAUCUCUUAAAAUGUGAAUUUGAGUUUCCUCAGUCCUGUAGCAUUUAUGGCAGUAAGGAGAUGCCCCAAAAAUUCUAGCCUUUCUUUGCGCUGUCAUUAACUUCUUGUGCACUACCAUCCACAUGAAGUACUUGAUUUUCUGAGGACCCUUCCAUCCCCAUAUAAUGGCCCACACCGCAUUCUGGGGUUCAUUGAUGUUGGCUAGCUUAUAGUAAGCACUUGCCACUAAAUACUCUCCACAAUUGGUUAGUUUCCAUAUGAUUUUAUCCUCUCCUAAUUCAUGCAUAGAGGGAUGUACUGUUCCAAUUUUUCUGACAAUAUCCUCUAGAAGGAAUUUUUGAAGAAGAACCCAGUCCCAAUCCUGGUCUUGCGUGGUAGCUUCUGCUAUUAUGAGAUUUCUCAUGUGCGAAGGGAUUGCGAUCAAGGCUUUCUGUUCCAAUUCCCUCUCUCCUUCCACCCACUCAUCUUUCCACAAUUUGAUUUUUACUCCAUCCCCAAUCGAAAAGAAAAUAUUUUAGGUAAAAGAACUCCAGCAUUUUGAGAGGUUUUUCCAGAACCCUGAGUCCAUCGAUUUGCAUUCAACUGAAUGGAUGAGAUUGUGUCCCCUACCAUAUUUUCCAUAGAGAACUUUUGCCCGUAAUGUUUCUUUCUCUGUGAUUAGUCUCUACCAAAUCUUGCCCAUGAAGACUUCGUUUAUCAAAAUCAAGUUAUGAAACCCCAAUCCUUCUAACCUUUUUGGUUUGCAUAAAGUGCUCUACCCUACAUUGUGGUAUUUACGUUCUCCCUGUUUUUCUCCCUAGAUGAACUGCCUCUGCAUCUUUUCCACCUCAUGACACACACCUUUGGGGAGCUGGCAGUGCAUCAUGCAAUAAUUUAAGGAGGGUGAGAUAACGGAUUGAGCCAAAGUUACUCUUCCUGCAAAGAUAAGGCAAUUUGCCUUCCAACCACUAAAUUUAUUUUUCAAUCUGUCUAUAGCUCCCUUGAAGUUCUCUUUCAUUAUCUUCCCAUUGGUUAUCAUUGCCCCUAAGUAUUUUUUGAGGCUGGGCAUGUCUUUAAAAUCACUUGUUCUUGUAAUGUCUUCCCUCAGGCUUUGCUCAACAUUCUUUGAAAAAAUCACUGAGGUCUUCGCUGCAUUAACCUUUAACCCUGAGGCCUGGCAGAAUUACUCUUAGGUGUAAAGGAGUUUGUUCAAUUGAUUCUUGGAUGCCUCAGCAAAUAGAAGCACAUCAUCUGCAAAGAGCAGAUGGGAGAUAGAGGGCCCAUCCUUUCCUGCCCUUAAGGGUAUCUAAUUCCAAGCAAUAACUUCUCCUUCAAUAAGGUACCCUCUAACACUUGAUUUCUUGUGGUUUUGGCAUCCAAAACUGUUGGGUAAGCUUGAUUAUUGUGAGUUUGGAGCUUAUUGGUGCUUGUUGGAGUUACAUUGGAAGCUUGGAUUAUGUUGGAAAGCUUGUUGGUGAUUAUUGUGGGCUCAAUUUUGAGUUUUGGCAUAUUGGGAAUUGGCCAAGGUAUGAUUUCGGUUUUCUCUAUGUAGUAUAUAAUAUUUAUGGACACUUAGGCUAGUGACCUAUAGGAUAGGUUUGGAAAUUUAUAUGUUGUUGAUGAUUGUUUGGGUUGAUGAUGUAUAAUGAAUUGAUGUUGUUGUUGUGGUUAAAUGAUGAAGUUGAGAUAUGAUGGAAUUGGAUGAAUGAACAUUGUUGAUUAUUAAUAUGAAUCAUGGUUGUGUUGAUGAUGAGAAUUGAUAGUGAUGUAAUGAUGAUUGGUAGAUAUGUGAUAGAUGUGAUAUUGAGGUUGAGAAUAAUAUGUGGAGGAAAAUGUGAUAAGAUUGGUGUAAUAUGACACAAAGGGUUGAUUUUGAUGAAAAAUGGGAGUUUGGUAUUGUUUUGGUUGGAUGUGGUUUGAGGAUUUUGGAAAAUUUGGUAAAGUGUGAUUUUUGGUAAAAGUUAGUUUUUUGGUGAACUUUGUCUGAUAAUAACUUUUGUCUCAAUUUUUAAAAUUAGUUGAAAUUUGUUGGAGAUUAAAGCUUAUUAAAAACCCUUCAAAUCGAUAUAAAGUUUGUAAAAUUUGAGUUUUUGUAGAGGGAGUUAUGAUCAUUCAAAGAUUGGUGUAAAAAUCUGAAAUUUUGCAAAGUUACAGAAG